RNAcentral lists this ribosomal RNA (460 nucleotides) under uncultured bacterium. RNAcentral describes it as "partial 16S ribosomal RNA". It matches the Rfam family "Bacterial small subunit ribosomal RNA", at positions 338 to 795 of the family's 1533-position model. The record is from RNAcentral.
CCUACGGGUGGCAGCAGUGAGGAAUAUUGGUCAAUGGACGAGAGUCUGAACCAGCUAAGUAGCGUGAAGGAUGACUGCCCUAUGGGUUGUAAACUUCUUUUAUAUGGGAAUAAAAUGUUCCACGUGUGGGAUUUUGUAUGUACCAUAUGAAUAAGGAUCGGCUAACUCCGUGCCAGCAGCCGCGGUAAUACGGAGGAUCCGAGCGUUAUCCGGAUUUAUUGGGUUUAAAGGGAGCGUAGGUGGAUUGUUAAGUCAGUUGUGAAAGUUUGCGGCUCAACCGUAAAAUUGCAGUUGAAACUGGCAGUCUUGAGUACAGUAGAGGUGGGCGGAAUUCGUGGUGUAGCGGUGAAAUGCUUAGAUAUCACGAAGAACUCCGAUUGCGAAGGCAGUUCACUGGACUGCAACUGACACUGAGGCUCGAAAGUGUGGGUAUCAAACAGGAUUAGAUACCCUAGUAGUC